AUGUGGUUGAUGUAUGGCAUCCCCACCAUCCGCGAGUUUGUGAACCUGCCGGUGAUGAUAGCAAACGGGGUCGGGAUUCUAGUUGAGCUGUUCUAUAUUUACGUCUUCAUCCGACACGCCGUUGGCCGCCGGCGCAAACCGGUUUUCGUUCUGCUUGCUUCGAGCGUGGUGAUCUUCACUGUACUUGGGGUCUUCCUAGGGAUGACUGUGUACCGGCACAAGUGGCCGUGUACCUUUGUGGGAGACUUGGCAGCUAUUUCAGGCGUCGUCAUGUACCUCAUUCCUAUCAUUAACACGAUUAAAGGGAUCUGGAACCGCGACCUGACACGCUUGUCAUGGUGGCAGCCCUUUGCGGCCCUGGCUAAUGGGUCCAUAUGGACGGCUUAUUCACGUGUUGGCCGAGUGAGGAUGUUCAUUCUUGUGCCAAGCAUUGCAGCCAUCUGCUCGGCCGUUUUCCAGGAGAUCUCGUGGUUUAUCGUGUACUUCAGAGGGCCGCCGCCUGCGCCAGUGCCACCACCACCGCCAACGCCACCGCCAAGUUCUGACAUUGAGUUGCCGCCACAUGCGGCUGCCGGCACCAGGGUUCAGGGAGGAAACGGAGGCAGGGAGGAGCUAGGAGGAGGCGACAGGGUUCAGGGAGGAGAGGCAGGCACGGAGCAGCUAGGUGGAGGCGACGGUGGACAGGGAGGAGAGAAAGGCAAGGAGCAGCUCGAAGCACAAGUCAGUGCCGAGGGGCAACAACAGCUGUCCUCUGCCGUCGGCCCGCCUGCGCCUGAAGGCGCCAAGCUCCAGGACGUCGCCCUGCCUGCGCCUGAAGACGCCGCGCUCAAGGACGUCGGCGCGCCCAAGGACAUCGCCCCGCCUGCGCCUGAAGACGCCGCGCUCAAGGACGUCGCCCCGCCUGCGCCUCCCGUCGUUGCGCCGCCGCUCCAGCCUCAGGAGGAGGAUGACGAGAUUCCGGAGCAAGACUGA
This 972-nucleotide ribosomal RNA is filed under the name Triticum aestivum (bread wheat). Its description in RNAcentral is "partial small subunit ribosomal RNA". Lineage: Eukaryota; Viridiplantae; Streptophyta; Magnoliopsida; Poales; Poaceae. The record is from RNAcentral.